Molecule: ribosomal RNA, 253 nt
Filed under: uncultured bacterium
Lineage: Bacteria
Description: partial 16S ribosomal RNA
Rfam family: Bacterial small subunit ribosomal RNA
Source: RNAcentral
UACGUAGGGUGCAAGCGUUGUCCGGAAUCAUUGGGCGUAAAGCGCUCGUAGGCGGCUCGGUAAGUCCGCUGUAAAAGUCCAGGGCUCAACCCUGGAAAGCCGGUGGAUACUGUCGGGCUAGAGUCCGGAAGAGGCGAGUGGAAUUCCUGGUGUAGCGGUGGAAUGCGCAGAUAUCAGGAGGAACACCGAUGGCGAAGGCAGCUCGCUGGGACGGUACUGACGCUGAGGCGCGAAAGCGUGGGGAGCGAACAGG